GUGGCUCUGGAGAAUCCCGAAAGGGUGCCGAAGGUGCAAGAUGCGGAGGUUGAACAGACUUCUGCGUUAAUCUCUCAGGCAAAAGGACAGAGUAGG
This 96-nucleotide non-coding RNA is filed under the name uncultured Oribacterium sp. RNAcentral describes it as "Glycine riboswitch". It matches the Rfam family "Glycine riboswitch aptamer", at positions 9 to 86 of the family's 94-position model. From Rfam's summary of the family: This family represents the bacterial glycine riboswitch. Glycine riboswitches usually consist of two metabolite-binding aptamers domains with similar structures in tandem. The record is from RNAcentral. Lineage: Bacteria; Bacillati; Bacillota; Clostridia; Lachnospirales; Lachnospiraceae.